RNAcentral lists this ribosomal RNA (492 nucleotides) under uncultured bacterium. Its description in RNAcentral is "partial 16S ribosomal RNA". It matches the Rfam family "Bacterial small subunit ribosomal RNA", at positions 29 to 507 of the family's 1533-position model. The record is from RNAcentral.
AGUGAACGCUGGCGGUAGGCCUAACACAUGCAAGUCGAACGGCAGCACAGUAAGAGCUUGCUCUUACGGGUGGCGAGUGGCGGACGGGUGAGGAAUACAUCGGAAUCUACUUUUUCGUGGGGGAUAACGUAGGGAAACUUACGCUAAUACCGCAUACGACCUACGGGUGAAAGCAGGGGAUCUUCGGACCUUGCACGAUUGAAUGAGCCGAUGUCGGAUUAGCUAGUUGGCGGGGUAAAGGCCCACCAAGGCGACGAUCCGUAGCUGGUCUGAGAGGAUGAUCAGCCACACUGGAACUGAGACACGGUCCAGACUCCUACGGGGGGCAGCAGUGGGGAAUAUUGGACAAUGGGCGCAAGCCUGAUCCAGCCAUACCGCGUGGGUGAAGAAGGCCUUCGGGUUGUAAAGCCCUUUUGUUGGGAAAGAAAAGCAGCAGGUUAAUACCCCGCUGUUCUGACGGUACCCAAAGAAUAAGCACCGGCUAACUUCGUG